RNAcentral lists this ribosomal RNA (466 nucleotides) under uncultured bacterium. RNAcentral describes it as "partial 16S ribosomal RNA". It matches the Rfam family "Bacterial small subunit ribosomal RNA", at positions 28 to 507 of the family's 1533-position model. The record is from RNAcentral.
GAUGAACGCUGGCGGCGUGCUUAACACAUGCAAGUCGAACGAUGAAGCCCAGCUUGCUGGGUGGAUUAGUGGCGAACGGGUGAGUAACACGUGAGUAACCUGCCCUUAACUCUGGGAUAAGCCUGGGAAACUUGGUCUAAUACCGGAUAGGAGCGCCUACCGCAUGGUGGGUGUUGGAAAGAUUUAUCGGUUUUGGAUGGACUCGCGGCCUAUCAGCUUGUUGGUGAGGUAAUGGCUCACCAAGGCGACGACGGGUAGCCGGCCUGAGAGGGUGACCGGCCACACUGGGACUGAGACACGGCCCAGACUCCUACGGGAGGCAGCAGUGGGGAAUAUUGCACAAUGGGCGAAAGCCUGAUGCAGCGACGCCGCGUGAGGGAUGACGGCCUUCGGGUUGUAAACCUCUUUCAGUAGGGAAGAAGCGAAAGUGACGGUACCUGCAGAAGAAGCACCGGCUAACUACGUG